AGCAGGUAAAAGUUUGAAAGUCUGAAAAUAAAAGCAUUGGCAUCAUCAUCGACAUCAACAGCAAAGUGCAGAAAAUGAUGGCAGUAUGUAAACACGGCAUCUGUGUACACUCGCGGAUGACUCAUGUGGCGUUUGCACAUACAAAUUUGCAGUCAUUUCGUGAUUUAUGGUGCAGAAAUACGCUUCUGAUAACCAGGUAAUGUUUAGCAUGAGUGUGAAAAUAAACAAGUGUUUGUACAAGCUGAUUUUGGAGCAUGGAGAGAGCCCCAACCAGUCACGAAACCAGGAGUACAGGUAGUAUGGUGUGACCUGUGGCAGGCCGAUGGAGAGGCCUGGCAACACGACGGUGUGUAGAGUGGCAACAAGCAGACGAAACUCUGGCAAUACUAGAGAAUGUUGUCCAACAUUUAUCUUACCACAUCUUUAAAGGAGGGGAAAAA
Molecule: long non-coding RNA, 440 nt
Organism: Rhipicephalus microplus (southern cattle tick)
Lineage: Eukaryota; Metazoa; Arthropoda; Arachnida; Ixodida; Ixodidae
Source: RefSeq, a predicted model, not a curated record